GUGCAGCAGGCGCGAAAAUUUUGCAAUGCGCGCAAGCGUGACAAAGUCAUCCCGAGUGCCGUCCGCUGAGGAUGGCUUUUCCCCAGUGUAGAUAGCUGGGGGAAUAAGGAGAGGGCAAGUCUGGUGUCAGCCGCCGCGGUAAUACCAGCUCUCCGAGUGGUGGGGAUGUUUAUUGGGCCUGAAGCAUCCGUAGCUGGCUGAGCAAGUUCUCCGUUAAAUCCAGCGAUUUAAUCGUUGGACUGCGGGGGAUACUGUUCGGCUAGGGAGCGGGAGAGGCCGACGGUAUUCUCGGGGUAGGGGUGAAAUCCUAUAAUCCCGGGAAGACCACCAGUGGCGAAGGC
Molecule: ribosomal RNA, 341 nt
Filed under: uncultured crenarchaeote
Lineage: Archaea; Thermoproteati; Thermoproteota
Description: partial 16S ribosomal RNA
Rfam family: Archaeal small subunit ribosomal RNA
Source: RNAcentral